UGGUUCUGGCAUCGAUGAAGAACGCAGCGAAAUGCGAUAAGUAAUGUGAAUUGCAGAAUUUAGUGAAUCAUCGAAUCUUUGAACGCACAUUGCGCCCCCUGGUAUUCCGAGGGGCAUACCUGUUCGAGCGUCAUUAUAACCCUCAAGCGCUGCUUGGUGUUGGGCCCGCUGCUUUAGCGGGCCUUAAAAUUAUAGGCGGUGCCCUUAGGCUCUGAGCGUAGUAAAUUAUCCUCGCUACGGAGUCCUGAGCGGUAUUGGCCUAAACCAAAGUCUCUUAGUUUGACCUCGGAUCAGGUAGGGAUACCCGCUGA
Molecule: unclassified non-coding RNA, 311 nt
Filed under: uncultured fungus
Lineage: Eukaryota; Fungi
Description: partial contains 5.8S ribosomal RNA and internal transcribed spacer 2
Rfam family: 5.8S ribosomal RNA (bases 1-133)
Source: RNAcentral